CCCUGCAGCCAGAUCACCUCGGGCUGUGAUCCCGUCAGAUCUUGCAAACUGAGCAAGGCUGGGCCUAUUUAGGACUGGGUUGAAAGGCCCUGAAAGAGAUCUGGAUGUUGUGGGAA
Molecule: ribosomal RNA, 116 nt
Filed under: Crocodylus porosus (Australian saltwater crocodile)
Lineage: Eukaryota; Metazoa; Chordata; Crocodylia; Crocodylidae
Source: RNAcentral